UACAGAGGGUGCAAGCGUUGUUCGGAAUUAUUGGGCGUAAAGCGCGUGUAGGCGGCUUUGCAAGUUGGGUGUGAAAUCCCUCGGCUUAACCGGGGAAGUGCGCCCAAUACUACAAAGCUAGAGUGUUGGAGGGGGUGGCGGAAUUCCAGGUGUAGAGGUGAAAUUCGUAGAUAUCUGGAGGAACACCAGUGGCGAAGGCGGCCACCUGGCCAAAUACUGACGCUGAGACGCGAAAGCAUGGGGAGCAAACAGG
This 253-nucleotide ribosomal RNA is filed under the name uncultured bacterium. RNAcentral's name for it is "partial 16S ribosomal RNA". It matches the Rfam family "Bacterial small subunit ribosomal RNA", at positions 524 to 776 of the family's 1533-position model. The record is from RNAcentral.